UAAGGAAUAUUGGUCAAUGGACGCAAGUCUGAACCAGCCAUGCCGCGUGAAGGAUGAAGGUCCUCUGGAUUGUAAACUUCUUUUAUCUGGGACGAAAACGGGAUUUUUAUCUCAAUUGACGGUACCAGAGGAAUAAGCACCGGCUAACUCCGUGCCAGCAGCCGCGGUAAUACGGAGGGUGCGAGCGUUAUCCGGAUUUACUGGGUUUAAAGGGUGCGUAGGUGGGCUUAUAAGUCAGUGGUGAAAUCUCCGAGCUUAACUUGGAAACUGCCGUUGAUACUAUAGGUCUUGAAUUAUCUGGAGGUAAGCGGAAUAUGUCAUGUAGCGGUGAAAUGCUUAGAUAUGACAUAGAACGCCAAUUGCGAAGGCAGCUUACUACAUAUAAAUUGACGCUGAGGCACGAAAGCGUGGGGAUCAAAC
RNAcentral lists this ribosomal RNA (420 nucleotides) under uncultured bacterium. Its description in RNAcentral is "bacterial SSU rRNA". It matches the Rfam family "Bacterial small subunit ribosomal RNA", at positions 355 to 773 of the family's 1533-position model. The record is from RNAcentral.